Chrysemys picta bellii (western painted turtle) is the source of this 2517-nucleotide non-coding RNA. The record is from RefSeq and is a predicted model, not a curated record. Lineage: Eukaryota; Metazoa; Chordata; Testudines; Emydidae.
GGGGAACUGGUUUUGGGGGAUUUCAGAGAAGCCAGACAGACGUUUUGCUGCAUGCACGCCCCAGAAGGUGUGUGCAACCCCCUUCUCUUGCCUGGAGAGCAGUGAUCACCUGACUCUACUUUGCGCAUGCCUGGUGGGAUCCUUGGGCUAUUUUGGGUGCCAUAAAAGUACACAAAUCUUCCAAGCUAACUUUCCAUCUUCUCGUGGUGAAAUGUUAGCCAACCAUAUAUACAUUAAGAAAAAUAAUAAUACAGAGAAGAGUCAUAGGGAUGGAAACACUAACAUUACAUUUAUCAUAACAUCUCAGAAAUAUUUAGCUCUGGAGAAACCUAAAUUAAAAGUUGACGAUUGCAGAUGGCAAGAACUUCCCCAUUGGAGAAGAUGAAAUGAACUAGCAACUCUUGCGCCAGAUCGAUCUUGUUCUUGAAGCACAAACAAAUAAUGGGCUUUAUGAAUAGGAUUUCAAGGUGAAAAUCAAUUGAAUCAGUUUAUUUGUGUGAGCGAGGUUUUUUCCCCCUGAAACUCAGAGUUAGGGAAGAGACAAAGCGCCAAGAAAUCCAGAGGGCUUGUUCUUUGCCAUCACGACCAAAAUGACUGUUUUCGAAAAAUGCCACUUCUCUUUAUGAAGAAACUUUUUAAUUCAUUGAAACCUUGGGUUCUUCGUUCAUAAGAUAAAUGCGCUUUGCGAUACAAAACGCUAAAGCUUCUGUUCAGGCACAGAGUGUUGGCAGUGUGUUCCCCUGGCAAAGUAGGGGAUUGGUCACACUAAAUAUCAAAAUAACCUUUAUCUAUGGAGAAAUUGGGGGAUGUUUGUAUAUGCAUUUCUAUCUUCACGAAGCCUGAGUUAGUUUAAGCCUUAACUCUACAGUCUAUUCACUCCUGCACCCCCAUUGUUAUAUGGUUAUUAAACCUGGAACAAGUUGGAGGUCAGGCAAGAAAAAGGAAAAACAACCGUCUGGAAGCCCACGUGCGGGCUGGAGUCUAGAUUUGCAUCGAAGCCACCUGCAAGUGAAACAGCUUCGCACCUUCCAAAUUCACUCCGCGCUUUGCAGCAUGGAACCAAGGCACUCGCCCCAGCGAACCUAGAACUAUGAGCUACCGCGCCUAGAGACUAGUCUUGCAGCAGGGCCGCAUUUUGCUUCGCAAAGGGCAAGAAAGCUGGGGAAGCGGUUGCGAUUUAUUUCUGCUAAGAGGGCAUCCCUUUUCUUGUCUUUUUUUUUUACUACACACACACACACACACACACACACACACACACACACACACACACACAUUUCUAGGAGGCUACUCCACCGCGCCCAGACUUAAAACAGUGACACACCAAUCCGAUGCUGCGACUCCCGGUUCAAUGUGAACAGCAGAAGUGAUCUCAAUCUACUGGUUUGUUUGGAGAGGAAGAAAUUAAGGAUCGGGUGGGCAAAAACUGUCUUUGUUCUGGGUCCUCCCCCUGCCCCAUCCCACUUAGAAAUUAUGGCACACCACUGUACCUUUCAUUUCCUCGUUGUCGCAACUGCUCACGCUUUGUUGCAAAGAGCAGGCCAAACCCAGCUCACCUUCUUCCUCGGAAGAGAGAUCUCGCACCAGAAGGAACUCGUGGCACCAUUAAGGGGCCCAAGAACUCACCCAGUAUUAGACAGAAGAGGGGGAGGGGCAGAUGUAUACACAUAUGGCUGGAAGUGCAGGCUGGACACGCAGCUCUUUAGGGAAAAGAACCAUAAGGGGAACACUGGGGAGCUGCUGGCUUCGGAGACCUUUUGGAAAAUCUGGCCCCAAUUGUGGGUACAGGGCUCUUGAAAAUUUGGCCCAUAGUGGAGAAUUUGGUCAAAUCUUUAAUAAUAAUAAUAAUAAUAAUAAAUACCCCAGAAGGUUGCAACAAAUAUCAGUCCCAUGUUGUAACAUCCAGAAGUUAAUGAAGUUACACCCAGGGUGAAUUAGGCCCAAUGUAUCUUCUAUAGUUAAUAAGUAUGUAUCGAUCUCUAUACAUACACCAAAUCACUGUGUAUAUCUUUUGUAUGACACUUUAUAUGCUGGAUACACAAGAAGGGUGUACUUUAUAGGUUCAUGUAUGUACAUAGUAUCUACUUAUACACAAACUUAAAUACUCUACACCCAGGGGUCUUUGUUCAGGCAAAAUUAGCAUAUACUUCAAUGGGAACUUCCCCUAACUAAAGUAUUACACUUCGGUUUAUUUUAGCACACACCUGGCUCCGUUCAAGUCAAAGGAAUGUUUCCAGUGGGGUCAGAAUUUCACCUAUGCCUAUACAAAGAAUAACCUAUCUGAAGGAGUGUCUACAGCGUGUACAAACAGCCGGACGAUGUCGAAUUCUGCUCUGGCCACUGCACACUGCAAAUCCGGAAUGAUUCAUCAUUUACUCUGGUGUGAAGGGAAACAGAAUCUGGCUCCAUGAUGAGUGUGUUAAGUUAAUUGAGAACUUUACUGAGGGACUCAGCAAGUGUUGCUGUUUAUUGAAACAGGCUGAAUCGUUAUCCCAACAUAAAUAACUAGGUAACAACUAG